GACGAACGCUGGCGGCGUGCUUAACACAUGCAAGUCGAACGGAAAGGCCCUGCUUUUGUGGGGUGCUAGAGUGGCGAACGGGUGAGUAACACGUGAGUAACCUGCCCUUGACUUUGGGAUAACUUCAGGAAACUGGGGCUAAUACCGGAUAGGAGCUCCUGCUGCAUGGUGGGGGUUGGAAAGUUUCGGCGGUUGGGGAUGGACUCGCGGCUUAUCAGCUUGUUGGUGGGGUAGUGGCUUACCAAGGCUUUGACGGGUAGCCGGCCUGAGAGGGUGACCGGCCACAUUGGGACGGAGAUACGGCCCAGACUCCUACGGGAGGCAGCAGUGGGGAAUAUUGCACAAUGGGCGGAAGCCUGAUGCAGCAACGCCGCGUGCGGGAUGACGGCCUUCGGGUUGUAAACCGCUUUCGCCUGUGACGAAGCGUGAGUGACGGUAAUGGGUAAAGAAGCACCGGCUAACUACGUG
This 468-nucleotide ribosomal RNA is filed under the name uncultured bacterium. Its description in RNAcentral is "partial 16S ribosomal RNA". It matches the Rfam family "Bacterial small subunit ribosomal RNA", at positions 28 to 507 of the family's 1533-position model. The record is from RNAcentral.